This 450-nucleotide ribosomal RNA is filed under the name uncultured Glomus. Its description in RNAcentral is "SSU rRNA". It matches the Rfam family "Eukaryotic small subunit ribosomal RNA", at positions 569 to 1025 of the family's 1831-position model. The record is from RNAcentral. Lineage: Eukaryota; Fungi; Glomeromycota; Glomeromycetes; Glomerales; Glomeraceae.
AGCAGCCGCGGUAAUUCCAGCUCCAAUAGCGUAUAUUAAAGUUGUUGCAGUUAAAAAGCUCGUAGUUGAAUUUCGAGAUCAAAUUGUUGGUCGUGCCUUGGUACGUACUGACAUUAUUGGUUUCUCCCUUCUGAAGAACCAUGAUGUCAUUAAUUUGGUGUCAUGGGGAAUCAGGACUGUUACUUUGAAAAAUUAGAGUGUUUAAAGCAGGCUCGCGCUUGAAUACAUUAGCAUGGAAUAAUGAAAUAGGACGUUUAAUUCUAUUUUGUUGGUUUCUAGGAUUGACGUAAUGAUUAAUAGGGAUAGUUGGGGGCAUUAGUAUUCAAUUGUCAGAGGUGAAAUUCUUGGAUUUAUUGAAGACUAACUACUGCGAAAGCAUUUGCCAAGGAUGUUUUCAUUAAUCAAGAACGAAAGUUAGGGGAUCGAAGACGAUCAGAUACCGUCGUAGUC